GGUUUAAUUCGAAGCAACGCGAAGAACCUUACCAGGUCUUGACAUCUUCUGACAAUUCCAGAGAUGGAACGUUUCCCUUCGGGGACAGAAUGACAGGUGGUGCAUGGUUGUCGUCAGCUCGUGUCGUGAGAUGUUGGGUUAAGUCCCGCAACGAGCGCAACCCUUAUUGUCAGUUGCCAUCAUUAAGUUGGGCACUCUGGCGAGACUGCCGGUGACAAACCGGAGGAAGGUCGGGGAUGA
Molecule: ribosomal RNA, 240 nt
Filed under: uncultured bacterium
Lineage: Bacteria
Description: partial 16S ribosomal RNA
Rfam family: Bacterial small subunit ribosomal RNA
Source: RNAcentral